UGCUCCGAUCACAUGUUUGGAAGGAAGUCUCACAAAAUCUCUCGUGUGUUUGUUGUUUGGUUGGAAGUUAGCCACAAAAUGUAUUUUUUUUCUUAUAUAUGGGGGUUUGAGAGUUUAACUUACUAAAAGCUCUUAAGUUUAUAUGAUACUCUCAAGAUAAAUUCUUGGGGAGAGGGGUAGGUCUUUUCCUCUGUUUUGGAUGAACCUUAACGUUUUACAUUUCUACAUUUUGUCUUUCGCAUUUUAUUUUCCACUGGAAAACCAUAAAAUUUU
This 273-nucleotide long non-coding RNA is filed under the name Lathyrus oleraceus (garden pea). RNAcentral's name for it is "Pisum sativum (pea) long non-coding RNA (PSAT_LNC019062)". Lineage: Eukaryota; Viridiplantae; Streptophyta; Magnoliopsida; Fabales; Fabaceae. The record is from RNAcentral.